This 631-nucleotide long non-coding RNA is filed under the name Brassica napus (rape). RNAcentral's name for it is "long non-coding RNA (BNAP_LNC018350)". Lineage: Eukaryota; Viridiplantae; Streptophyta; Magnoliopsida; Brassicales; Brassicaceae. The record is from RNAcentral.
GUUGAUUAAGUUGUAUUUGGAAGAACUUGGGGAGUAAGUUAUGUUUAUGUAUACAAGGAGAACAUGCUUCUAUGAAAAUAUUAUCUCAGGAAAAUAAGAAAACUGAGAGAUCUUUGUUUGGUGCUUGUGUGAUCAAGCAUUUGGAGUCAGUGUUGUGCUUUGGGUGGUGAAGUACUAGGUGAUUGAUUUUCAAAAUGUUGGAAAAUUGAAAUCUAGAUUCAGGCGGAGGCUCAUGGUUAGGUUCUUGAUAAAUAUAAAAGUCCAGACUCUAGGAUGAAUUUUAUAUUGGGAUUGAGUUAUCCUAAACAAUUCUUAUAUUGGGUUAGUCCUUUCUCCGUGUCGUCGUCUUCUUCUACACUGGAGCCUCCACGCUGUCGCCGUCUUCCACACUAGAGCUCCCUCUCCACCUCGUCUUCUACGCCGCAAGCCAACCGCCUCAUAUGAUUCAACAUGCCACAAAAUCAAACACUAAAUAGUUAGGGUUGCACGAAAUUAAAUACAGAAAAAAAAACUAGGUUCUGGGAAAAUCUUGACUUCGAAAGGGAGAGGAUAAGAAACACACAAUAUUAGACAAAUCUGGAGCACUGACUACAUCUAAUCAGUAGUCAAUAUAUAAAUCCUCAAACCUAUU